This 941-nucleotide ribosomal RNA is filed under the name Cladosporium phaenocomae. RNAcentral's name for it is "eukaryotic LSU rRNA". It matches the Rfam family "Eukaryotic large subunit ribosomal RNA", at positions 1 to 966 of the family's 3401-position model. Lineage: Eukaryota; Fungi; Ascomycota; Dothideomycetes; Cladosporiales; Cladosporiaceae. The record is from RNAcentral.
GUUGACCUCGGAUCAGGUAGGGAUACCCGCUGAACUUAAGCAUAUCAAUAAGCGGAGGAAAAGAAACCAACAGGGAUUGCUCUAGUAACGGCGAGUGAAGCAGCAAUAGCUCAAAUUUGAAAUCUGGCGUCUUCGACGUCCGAGUUGUAAUUUGUAGAGGAUGCUUCUGAGUAACCACCGACCUAAGUUCCUUGGAACAGGACGUCAUAGAGGGUGAGAAUCCCGUAUGCGGUCGGAAAGGUGCUCUAUACGUAGCUCCUUCGACGAGUCGAGUUGUUUGGGAAUGCAGCUCUAAAUGGGAGGUAAAUUUCUUCUAAAGCUAAAUAUUGGCCAGAGACCGAUAGCGCACAAGUAGAGUGAUCGAAAGAUGAAAAGCACUUUGGAAAGAGAGUUAAAAAGCACGUGAAAUUGUUAAAAGGGAAGGGAUUGCAACCAGACUUGCUCGCGGUGUUCCGCCGGUCUUCUGACCGGUCUACUCGCCGCGUUGCAGGCCAGCAUCGUCUGGUGCCGCUGGAUAAGACUGGAGGAAUGUAGCUCCCUCGGGAGUGUUAUAGCCUCUUGUGAUGCAGCGAGCGCCGGGCGAGGUCCGCGCUUCGGCUAGGAUGCUGGCGUAAUGGUCGUAAUCCGCCCGUCUUGAAACACGGACCAAGGAGUCUAACAUCUAUGCGAGUGUUCGGGUGUCAAACCCCUACGCGUAAUGAAAGUGAACGGAGGUGAGAACCGCAAGGUGCAUCAUCGACCGAUCCUGAUGUCUUCGGAUGGAUUUGAGUAAGAGCAUAGCUGUUGGGACCCGAAAGAUGGUGAACUAUGCCUGAAUAGGGUGAAGCCAGAGGAAACUCUGGUGGAGGCUCGCAGCGGUUCUGACGUGCAAAUCGAUCGUCAAAUUUGGGUAUAGGGGCGAAAGACUAAUCGAACCAUCUAGUAGCUGGUUCCUGCCGAAG